AAGCUGCUGGUUGGGGACCACUGCUGUAAAGUUCAAAUUUAAAUGAGAACAAAAAAUGAAGUUGAAGUCUAUAUAAAGUGCAGUUCCCUUUAAUAACAUGACUAUAAUUGGACAAAACAAAACAAAAAAGUGUACAUUCCAGGAUUCCGUAAUUGGACGGAGAUGUUUGAGCCCUGCGUGUGGACACGGGCUCUUGUUUUCGUGAUUAAAAAGCCAAGCAGCAUUUUUUUAGUUUGACGCUGGAGGAUAAGCUGAGGCAGCAAACAUUUGAUGCUGACGCCAGCUUCGGAGCAGGGUGUCAUUAUCCUUCAGGAGGUCACAUGAACGCCCAGCUUCUCCAAAAAGAACCGAGCGUGGACGCAUGACUCGUUGAUACACGGUCGCCGUGGGGACCGGCGAACUCCUCCACGCGUCAACAUGGACAGAAAGGCGAGGGCGUGGACGCCUGACCCAGACAUAACACCUGGGAGCGUUGGGGUCAAACAAGCCCGGGCCUGCUCAAUGGCCCGCCCGCCGUUUGACCUGAGCGCCGGGCGCCGCAGAGCAGCAGCAGGUUAACGGGGACACGACGCAAACCUCGUGAAGUAGGUCACCCACUUCAGAUGUUUGCUCACAAGGUGUCAGCGCUGCUUCCGCAAAGAGGCGAUUUGAGGGACGCCAUGGCGUCCGCUUCGGUUUCGUUUCAGAUGAUUUCAGGAUAAAACCAAAAUGUUCACGCGGACUUCGGCUUCCUCGUUCUAAUAAAAGAAUGUUGUUACGAAAGAAAGAACUUCCUUGAUCACAUUGCUGACAGUCAUGAUACAGAUUGUUCACAAUCCUUUUUUGAGACAAGAACACAUGAUUUUAUCUCAUGUAUUCUAAAUCAUAAAUAAACACUAGCAAAGGUCAGCUAGAAAUGGAGCCAAUAUGAGUGGCUCAAAUCCCGCCUCCAAAUUGCUCUAAAAAAAAAUUCUAAUAACAUUUUAUAUUCACUAUAAAAAUAUAUGCAAUUUAGUAACAUUCAUAAUAGCUUGUAUUUAUGUAAUUUCAACAACUUCACUAGUCAUGGCAGACUUCAUGAGAGGCAUCAAAGACUACUUUGGGACAAAUGAUGAUCCAGAAACUUAUAUUUUUGAGCCUGAAUAUAAGGAGGACUGUUACAUACAACUGGGGAAGUAGACCAGUUUUUUUCAACCUUUUUUGAGCCAAGGCACGUUUUUUGCGUUGAAAAAAAUCCGGAGGCACACCGCCAGCAGAAAUCGUUAAAAAACAAAACUCAGUUGAAAGUAAAAAGUCGUUGUCGCAAUUGUUGGAUAUGACUUUAAACCAUAACCAAGCAUGCAUGACUACAGCUCUUGUCUCAAAGUAGUUGUACUGUCACUACCUGUCACAUCACACCCUGACUUAUUUUGACUUGUUUGCUGUUUUCCUGUGUGUAGUGUUUUAGUUCUUUUCUUGCGCACCUAUUUUGGUGGCUUUUUCUCUUUUUUUGGUAGUUUCCUGUAGCAGUUUCAUGUCUUCCUUGGAGCCAUAUUUCCCGCAUGUACUUUGUUUUAGCAAUCGAGAAUAUUUCAGUUGUUUUUAUCCUUCUUUCAUGUCACGUUCGGAUGUACAUUGUGGACGCCCUCUUUGCUCCACAGUAAGUCUUUCCUGUCGUCCAGCAAUCUGUUUUUGUUUACUUUGCAGCCAGUUCAGUUUUACUUUCGUUCUGCAAAGCCUUCCCUAAGCUUCAUUGCCUUUUCUUAGCAGCACUCAAAAAUUUUUUUAUUUUUGGUUUAAGCAUUUGACAACUUUUUACCUGCACACUGCCUCCCGCUGUUUCCAAAGCAAUUAGCUACCGACUAGACAGCACCGACACUCAACAACAACACAUCAUUUUCAGACUAUAAUUACUGGUUUGCAAAAACAUUUUUAACCCAAAUAGGUGAAAUUAGAUCAACUCCCAUGGCACACCAGAUUGUAUCUCACUGCACGCUAGUGUGCUGCGGCACAGUGGAUGGAAAAACACUUAAGUAGAUGACACAACGGCUGUGUCUGCUACUCUAAGGGAAAGGUGCAAGGCGAUGUGUAGAAUUAACCACGUAAAUGUAUAAGGCGAGAAGGCAGUCCGUGGGCAGACAAGCGGUCAAGGGCUGGGGAGAAGCAAAGAGGUCCGUGUCCAAGCAGGGGUUGAGGAUCGGGGUAGGCAGUCUGGAAUCCAGAGGGAAGUCGAGGCACACAGCUCGAUCACACAAAGGACAGAAGACACGGAAACAGGGAAGGCACAGAAAGAGAUCAAGUACGUGGGAGGGAAGCCAAAGACGGGACGCUUACUAUGGGAGUGCCAUCCCAUUCCUAACCCAUAGGGUUCAAUAUGAUGCGGAGUAUAUGCGAAAAAAAAUUUUUUUAGGAAUUUUCCACCAUUCUUCCAAAAGCGCAUUGGUGAGGUCACACACUGAUGUUGGUCGAGAAGGCCUGGCUCACAGUCUCCGAUCUAGUUCAUCCCAAAGUUGUUCUAUCGGAGUCAUGUCACGACUCUGUGCAGGCCAGUCAAGUUCAUCCACACCAGACUCUUGUCAUCCAUAUCUAAAUGAUUAAAUAAUAAUGAUGAUGAUAAAAAUAACAAUAAGUACUGUAUAUAUACAUUAAUAAAUUAAAGACUAUGCAUAAAAAUAGUUUAAAAAAAGGUUUUAAGUGUAAAUAAAAAAAAGUCCAUACAUACACUAUAUUGCCAAAAGUAUUUGGCCACCUGCCUUGACUCACAUAUGGACUUAAAGGGCCAUCCCAUUCCUAACCCAUAGGGUUCAAUAUGAUGCGGAGUAUAUGCGAAAAAAAUUUUUUUUAGGAAUUUUCCACCAUUCUUCCAAAAGCGCAUUGGUGAGGUCACACACUGAUGUUGGUCGAGAAGGCCUGGCUCACAGUCUCCGAUCUAGUUCAUCCCAAAGUUGUUCUAUCGGAGUCAUGUCACGACUCUGUGCAGGCCAGUCAAGUUCAUCCACACCAGACUCUUGUCAUCCAUAUCUAAAUGAUUAAAUAAUAAUGAUGAUGAUAAAAAUAACAAUAAGUAUAUAUACAUUAAUAAAUUAAAGACUAUGCAUAAAAAUAGUUUAAAAAAAGGUUUUAAGUGUAAAUAAAAAAAAGUCCAUACAUACACUAUAUUGCCAAAAGUAUUUGGCCACCUGCCUUGACUCACAUAUGGACUUAAAGGGCCAUCCCAUUCCUAACCCAUAGGGUUCAAUAUGAUGCGGAGUAUAUGCGAAGUUUGUUUUUUUUAGGAAUUUUCCACCAUUCUUCCAAAAGCGCAUUGGUGAGGUCACACACUGAUGUUGGUCGAGAAGGCCUGGCUCACAGUCUCUGAUCUAGUUCAUCCCAAAGUUGUCCUAUCGGAGUCGGGUCAGGACUCUGUGCAGGCCAGUCAAGUUCAUCCACACCAGACUCUGCCAUCCAUUACUUUAUGGACCUUGCUUUGUGCACAGUCAUAUUGGAAGAGUAAGGGGCUCGCUCCGAGUGUGAAACCCCGCAACCUUGUGGACAGCCUUCCCAGAAGAGUUGAAGCUGUAAUAGCUGCAAAAAUGUGGACCGAAAUCAAAUUGAACCCUUUGGGUUAGGAAUGGGAUUGCAAUUCAAGUUCACAUCCCGUCCCAUAACACAGUGGUGAACAUGCCCUUUCCCAACUACUUUGGCACGUGUUGCAGACAUGAAAUUCUAAGUUCAUUAUUAUUUGCAAAAAAAAAAUAAAGUUUAUGAGUUUGA
Nerophis ophidion (straightnose pipefish) is the source of this 3711-nucleotide long non-coding RNA. RefSeq lists it as uncharacterized. The record is from RefSeq and is a predicted model, not a curated record. The transcript has 2 exons. NCBI's taxonomy places the organism in Eukaryota, Metazoa, Chordata, Actinopteri, Syngnathiformes, Syngnathidae.